AUUUGCGGUCAGAAUAAGGGGAAUACAGGAAAAUAAUAGAGAUGACUUGAGAAAGAUGUCUGCUGAAGUUCUGGCUGUGAUUUUAAAGAAGGAAAAAACGUUAUGACCUACCCAAAUCUCCAGGGAAGGAUAGGAAUUGCAACAUAGGAGGCCAAUCUAACUACAGCUUGUUUUCUGGCUUAAAUAUGCAAGUGGGGAAGAUCUGCAACAUGGAGAAAUAAAGAAUAUCAUUAUUAAAACU
Molecule: long non-coding RNA, 241 nt
Organism: Pantherophis guttatus
Lineage: Eukaryota; Metazoa; Chordata; Lepidosauria; Squamata; Colubridae
Source: RefSeq, a predicted model, not a curated record